UACGGAGGGAGCUAGCGUUGUUCGGAAUUACUGGGCGUAAAGCGCGCGUAGGCGGCUUUGUAAGUUAGAGGUGAAAGCCCGGGGCUCAACCCCGGAACUGCCUUUAAGACUGCAUCGCUUGAAUCCGGGAGAGGGAUGCGGAAUUCCAGGUGUAGCGGUGAAAUGCGUAGAUAUCUGGAGGAACACCGGUGGCGAAGGCGGCAUCCUGGACCGGCAUCGACGCUGAGGCGCGAAAGCCAGGGGAGCAAACGGG
Molecule: ribosomal RNA, 253 nt
Filed under: uncultured bacterium
Lineage: Bacteria
Description: partial 16S ribosomal RNA
Rfam family: Bacterial small subunit ribosomal RNA
Source: RNAcentral